CCCAUGACUAAGCCCCGGUGCCUUGCUGCUUUCUAAAUCUUGUGGUCGGUGAAGGGGGGUGAGUUGAGCAUGCUGCAGAAAGGCGCAUUGGAAGUUGUCCACUGUGUCCAGACCUUGCUGACUACAUUCCAGUCUCCACACGUCCAGCGUGAGCAACAGAGACUAGAUUGUUUAAGAAGGGCCACAGAAGGGCACAGCCCAUCGACUUCGUUGGCCCUCUACAACUCCGACAGACACACUUCAUCAGUAGAAAGCUUCCACAGAACCUGUGCGUGUUCUCAGAAGGAAACCUUUUCACUGGAGGCCUUUGAGUACAUACUCGAAGCGCUUUUGUGGUACUAAACCACCCCUGUGACAUCUUUAAUUUAACCAAAACUUAGCAUCUGUGGGUUUCCUUUUAGAGCAGUGAGUUUCUCCGGUGAUUCGAUGGAAUCUGUUGCAUGCCAUUUCCCUGUGGCAGGAAUCUAUAGGCCUGACGGGAAGCAGUGCAGUGGUCACGAUGCAGCUCUAUCUUGUGACCUUCCUUCACUCCUCGUCCUGAUUGGUUCAUCCCCCCAGCCCUACUGAGUACUAGGCCCGGAGCGUAGGCCCAUGUGAGCGGGUCGGGCCGACCCAGUCAGCUGUCCGGGGUGCAGGGAGCCAAGGUGUGCACUGUCCCUGCAAGAUCCCCUGCAAGUGGGCCAAAGACAAAGAAUACUACAGUUUGGUCUCACACUCUUCAAGUAUAGGCCAUCCCUUGAUGCUUUUCCUGUUUGCAGAUGGGGAAGCCGAAAGUUGAUUUUCCUUUUUAAUUAAAUUGCCCAAUAUUGAGUAGGCCCGGAUGGGUUCAAGGGGGCAGAUCAAAGUCCCUGUCGCCAGUCUGCUCUCUGAGCCUGUGAUUUAUGCCACCUCCGGCGAGGCAUGUGCAAAUAAUGAAGUCUGCGAGCACAGUGCUGGGGACACAGCUGUGCCUGGAACCCAAAUGCCCCCAAAAUGAAAGCAAAUAUAAAUUGCGUAUUCACACCACAUUGUUUAAGUUUGCUCGGAACAAUUGAAUGGUUUAAGAAAAUGGGGGUUUUGCAGUUUUCACGUUGAGGGUAUUUUGUUUUUUAAAUAAUAAUGGGUCCCAGCUUAUGUUUAAUACAGCAUUUGUCACAGGUCAACUUAAUCAUUCAAGAAUUUGAAAUUAUUUCAUUUGGCCACCUUUUAAUUAUGGAAUUACUUGGAAUGAAAACUUAAACCCAACAUAAUUCUUUUUUUUUUAAACUUUUUAUUUAUUUACUUAUUCGUUUGUUGA
This is a non-coding RNA of Leptonychotes weddellii (Weddell seal), 1276 nucleotides long. NCBI's taxonomy places the organism in Eukaryota, Metazoa, Chordata, Mammalia, Carnivora, Phocidae. The record is from RefSeq and is a predicted model, not a curated record.